This 809-nucleotide long non-coding RNA is filed under the name Homo sapiens (human). RNAcentral describes it as "MYO3B antisense RNA 1". Lineage: Eukaryota; Metazoa; Chordata; Mammalia; Primates; Hominidae. The record is from RNAcentral.
UCAAAAAAGAAUCCACAGCUAACCACAAAUAAUGUCUUGCUAUGUUGCCCAGGCUGGUCUCAAACUCAGGCUCAAAUGAUCCACCCAUCUUGGCCUCCCAAAGUGUUACGUGUGAACCACUGCACCUGGCCAAAAAUAUUUUACUAAGAAAAAGGAGUCACCUAUUGUAUGAUUCCAUUUAUAUGAAAUAUCCAAAAUAGGCCACAGAUCAGCCCUGGGGUUCAGAGGGAUCCUGACAGCUACUCCUCAAGAUCCUCUCUGUUGUGAUUCAUCCCCCCGGGGCCCUACAGUUUCUCCUUCCUGACUCUUACAUUUCUUUGGAUGGCAUCAUUAUUUACCUGUCUCCUCCCAUAGUUAGGUGCCAAGCACUGUGGAUUCUGCCUCUCAGUGUCCAGACACCCAUUUUCCUUCCCACUGUUCCUUCCCCAUGGAGAAGCCUGUGGCUGGCUGACAGCAGAGAGAGAUGCUCAACUUGGAGAAGGUGUUACCUGGGCCAGGUGGGGAAGGUUUGUUUGCAGAGCAAAGAAGUGAAGGAAGUAUUAACCCUUUGCAUGGCCUCCUGAGAAUCCGACAAGACGUAAAUAGCCAAGAAUAUCUGUGAAACUUCAUCACUGAGUUACAAUAUUUAUCACUGCAAGUGUGUUGUUCAUUGACACUAUAAAGCCAUGUGGAAUUAAGCAGCCUUGAAACACAAAAUGGAGAAAGGCUAAGAGCUGAGAAUUGUUGCCUUCAGGGAAAUACAAUCAAUGUCAAGCAAACAACCACCCCAAAAUGGUUAGCUUUAUCAGCAUUCAGGCCUACAGUGAACG